Small nucleolar RNA from Lycium barbarum (goji berry), 105 nucleotides. NCBI's taxonomy places the organism in Eukaryota, Viridiplantae, Streptophyta, Magnoliopsida, Solanales, Solanaceae. The record is from RefSeq and is a predicted model, not a curated record.
GGCAAUUGCGAUGAUGAUAACGUUUUCCCAGCUCAUUAUGAGACCUUUAAUUUUAAGGUCCGAGAAUAUACUCCGUUUCCAACACAUAUAUAUCUGAGCUUCGCC